This 361-nucleotide long non-coding RNA is filed under the name Ictidomys tridecemlineatus (thirteen-lined ground squirrel). RNAcentral describes it as "lncRNA (ENSSTOG00000031980.1)". The record is from RNAcentral. Lineage: Eukaryota; Metazoa; Chordata; Mammalia; Rodentia; Sciuridae.
AAGAAAUACAUAUAGAUGGGUGCAAUUUCAUGGGUCUAUAAUAACAUUAAACACAUUGCAAUUUCAUUUUCAGUGAACUCAAUAUGUGAUUGAACCAAUUUUUCUAUAUAUCAUCUGAACCUGAGAAUCAUUUACCUGUGCAUAAUCACCAAAGGGCGGAGAAUAAGCAAUGCACUUCUCCAACGUAUGCUGCGAUUCAUUUCCCUGAGAGAUUGCAUCCAGAAUGUUGCUUGAAAUUCCAGUGUAGAAAUGCAGGGGAGAUGGGUGAGUUCAUCAGAUGAGGCAAGCUGUGAGGGGUUCCAAGCACUGCUUUAAGAAAAUAAAAAUAAAAAUUUAACUGUAUAAUAUGUGAAAUUAAAUA